GAUGAAGAACGUAGCGAAAUGCGAUACUUGGUGUGUAUUGCAGAAUCCCGUGAACCAUCGAGUCUUUGAACGCAAGUUGCGCCUCAAGCCAUUAGGUUGAGGGCACGUCUGCCUGGGCGUCACAUAUCGUUGCCUGAUGCCAGUUUCCUCGUGAUGGGUGACUGUGCAGGGCGAAUGAUGGCUUCCCGUGAGCAUUGUUGCCUCAUGGUUGGUUGAAAAUUGAGUCCUUGGUAGGGAGCGCCGUGAUAGAUGGUGGUUGAGUGACGAACGAGACCCAAUCAUGUGAGACCCCUACCGAAUUUGGCCUUCAUGACCCACAUGCGUCUUUGGAACGCUCAUGACGAGACCUCAGGUCAGGCGGGGCUACCCGCUGAGUUUAAGCAUAUCAAUAAGCGGAGGA
Molecule: unclassified non-coding RNA, 400 nt
Filed under: soil metagenome
Description: partial contains 5.8S ribosomal RNA, internal transcribed spacer 2, and large subunit ribosomal RNA
Rfam family: 5.8S ribosomal RNA (bases 1-122)
Source: RNAcentral